Molecule: ribosomal RNA, 468 nt
Filed under: uncultured bacterium
Lineage: Bacteria
Description: partial 16S ribosomal RNA
Rfam family: Bacterial small subunit ribosomal RNA
Source: RNAcentral
GAUGAACGCUGGCGGCGUGCUUAACACAUGCAAGUCGAACGGAAAGGCCCAAGCUUGCUUGGGUACUCGAGUGGCGAACGGGUGAGUAACACGUGGGUGAUCUGCCCUGCACUUCGGGAUAAGCCUGGGAAACUGGGUCUAAUACUGGAUAGGACCACUUCUUGGAUGUUGUGGUGGAAAGUUUUUUCGGUGUGGGAUGAGCUCGCGGCCUAUCAGCUUGUUGGUGGGGUAAUGGCCUACCAAGGCGUCGACGGGUAGCCGGCCUGAGAGGGUGUACGGCCACAUUGGGACUGAGAUACGGCCCAGACUCCUACGGGAGGCAGCAGUGGGGAAUAUUGCACAAUGGGCGCAAGCCUGAUGCAGCGACGCCGCGUGGGGGAUGACGGCCUUCGGGUUGUAAACUCCUUUCGCUAGGGACGAAGCGUUUUGUGACGGUACCUGGAGAAGAAGCACCGGCUAACUACGUGC